CCUACGGGAGGCAGCAGUGGGGAAUAUUGCGCAAUGGGCGAAAGCCUGACGCAGCAAUGCCGCGUGAGUGAGGAAGGCCUUCGGGUUGUAAAGCUCUGUCAGAUGGGAAGAAUUGCCAGAUAUCUAAUAGGUGUCUGGAGUGACGGUACCAUCAAAGGAAGCACCGGCUAACUUCGUGCCAGCAGCCGCGGUAAU
Molecule: ribosomal RNA, 195 nt
Filed under: uncultured bacterium
Lineage: Bacteria
Description: partial 16S ribosomal RNA
Rfam family: Bacterial small subunit ribosomal RNA
Source: RNAcentral